RNAcentral lists this ribosomal RNA (469 nucleotides) under uncultured Microbacterium sp. Its description in RNAcentral is "bacterial SSU rRNA". It matches the Rfam family "Bacterial small subunit ribosomal RNA", at positions 915 to 1382 of the family's 1533-position model. Lineage: Bacteria; Bacillati; Actinomycetota; Actinomycetes; Micrococcales; Microbacteriaceae. The record is from RNAcentral.
GGGGAACCCGCACAAGCGGCGGAGCAUGCGGAUUAAUUCGAUGCAACGCGAAGAACCUUACCAAGGCUUGACAUAUACGAGAACGGGCCAGAAAUGGUCAACUCUUUGGACACUCGUAAACAGGUGGUGCAUGGUUGUCGGUCAGCUCGUGUCGUGAGAUGUUGGGUUAAGUCCCGCAACGAGCGCAACCCUCGUUCUAUGUUGCCAGCACGUCAUGGUGGGAACUCAUGGAAUACUGCCGGGGUCAACUCGGAGGAAGGUGAGGAUGACGUCAAAUCAUCAUGCCCCUUAUGUCUUGGGCUUCACGCAUGCUACAAUGGCCGGUACAAUGGGCUGCAAUGCCGCAAGGUGGAGCGAAUCCCAAAAAGCCGGUCCCAGUUCGGAUUGAGGUCUGCAACUCGACCUCAUGAAGUUGGAAUCGCUAGUAAUCGCGGAUCAGCACGCCGCGGUGAAUACGUUCCCGGGCCUU